CCUANGGGUGGCAGCAGUGGGGAAUCUUGCACAAUGGAGGAAACUCUGAUGCAGCGACGCCGCGUGAGUGAUGAAGCCCUUCGGGGUGUAAAGCUCUUUCGACGGGGACGAUAAUGACGGUACCCGGAGAAGAAGCUGCGGCUAACUACGUGCCAGCAGCCGCGGUAAUACGUAGGCAGCAAGCGUUGUUCGGAAUUACUGGGCGUAAAGAGUGCGUAGGUGGUUGGUUAAGUUUGGUGUGAAAUCUCCCGGCUCAACUGGGAGGGUGCGCCGAAGACUGGCCGACUAGAGUGUGGGAGAGGGACGUGGAAUUCCUGGUGUAGCGGUGAAAUGCGUAGAUAUCAGGAGGAACACCUGCGGUGUAGACGGCGUCCUGGACCAUUACUGACACUGAGGCACGAAAGCGUGGGGAGCAAACGGGAUUAGAUACCCCANUANUC
RNAcentral lists this ribosomal RNA (440 nucleotides) under uncultured bacterium. RNAcentral describes it as "bacterial SSU rRNA". It matches the Rfam family "Bacterial small subunit ribosomal RNA", at positions 338 to 795 of the family's 1533-position model. The record is from RNAcentral.